Dermacentor albipictus is the source of this 589-nucleotide non-coding RNA. NCBI's taxonomy places the organism in Eukaryota, Metazoa, Arthropoda, Arachnida, Ixodida, Ixodidae. The record is from RefSeq and is a predicted model, not a curated record.
UGCAACGAUGAGCGAGCCUGACCGACAGAAGGUGAUCGAAAAGUACCUCCAAGGGUUACAUCAUCAUGAAGACGGCUACUCCCAUGGCUACCUGAAGUCAGACGAUGAGCUUAAGCUUUUUGAGAGGUCCUUGGCUGCCGUCAACGAGAGGUAUGCUGUGCGGACAUCAGGAGACCUGAACAAGCCGUCUAAAUAUAAUGUCGUUUUCUCCAUGAUCCACUCCGGGUGCAGAAUCUCUCUAGACAAUGUACCGUUUGUGGUUGUCAAAGAAACCGUCAAAGUCUGCAUAUUUGGAACGGAAUACUACAAAAAGGUUCGAGAGAAAAACAAAGACCAGGGUUCAAGCACCGCUGACUGGCCGAAGGAGGUGUACGAGAUGAAGCGAGUGAACCUCCAAGGCACAAAGAAGAAAGGGUGUGCAGCAACAAUGAAUUUGAACUGCAUUGAAUUGUACCCAGAUUUACAGGUACGUAAUGUGCAACCACAAGUAAAAAAUGUUUGCAGGUUAUUUUCUGGGCACCUUUAUCAUGGCAUUUGUGUCUGCAAGCAGACACGAAACAAGCAGUUUUAAAACAUUACUACAUUGUCC